RNAcentral lists this ribosomal RNA (413 nucleotides) under bacterium enrichment culture clone ALO1_GLFRUDD03F7PYE. RNAcentral's name for it is "bacterial SSU rRNA". It matches the Rfam family "Bacterial small subunit ribosomal RNA", at positions 9 to 425 of the family's 1533-position model. RNAcentral also lists the same sequence under 2 other names. The record is from RNAcentral.
GAGUUUGAUCGUGGCUCAGAUUGAACGCUGGCGGCAUGCCUUACACAUGCAAGUCGAACGGCAGCACGGGAGCUUGCUCCUGGUGGCGAGUGGCGAACGGGUGAGUAAUGCAUCGGAACGUAUCCUGGAGUGGGGGAUAACGUAGCGAAAGUUACGCUAAUACCGCAUAUUCUGUGAGCAGGAAAGCGGGGGACCUUCGGGCCUCGCGCUCUUGGAGCGGCCGAUGUCGGAUUAGCUAGUUGGUGAGGUAAAGGCUCACCAAGGCGACGAUCCGUAGCAGGUCUGAGAGGAUGAUCUGCCACACUGGAACUGAGACACGGUCCAGACUCCUACGGGAGGCAGCAGUGGGAAUUUUGGACAAUGGGGGCAACCCUGAUCCAGCCAUGCCGCGUGAGUGAAGAAGGCCUCGGUUG